RNAcentral lists this ribosomal RNA (498 nucleotides) under uncultured bacterium. Its description in RNAcentral is "bacterial SSU rRNA". It matches the Rfam family "Bacterial small subunit ribosomal RNA", at positions 1 to 507 of the family's 1533-position model. The record is from RNAcentral.
GACGUCUACGAGUUUGAUCAUGGCUCAGGGUGAACGCUGACGGCGUGCUUGACACAUGCAAGUCGAACGGUAUGUGGCAACACAUAGAGUGGCGAACGGGUGAGUAACACGUGGGAACGUACCCUACGCAGGGGGAUAACUGACCGAAAGGACAGCUAAUACCGCAUAAGACCGAAAGGUGAAAGGUGCAAAUGCAUCGGCGAAGGAGCGGCCCGCGGACCAUCAGCUAGUUGGUGGGGUAAGAGCCUACCAAGGCGACGACGGUUAGUCGGCGUGAGAGCGUGGCCGGCCACAAGGACACUGAGAUACGGGUCCUACUCCUACGGGAGGCAGCAGUGCGGAAUUUUAGAUAAUGGAGGCAACUCUGAUCUAGCGACGCCGCGUGCAGGAAGAAGGUCUUCGGAUUGUAAACUGCUGUGGUAAGGGAAAAAUGUCAUGUAGAGUGGAAAGCUACAUGGAGGGAUGGUACCUUACUAGAAAGCCCCGGCUAACUACGUG